RNAcentral lists this ribosomal RNA (502 nucleotides) under uncultured Acaulospora. RNAcentral's name for it is "SSU rRNA". It matches the Rfam family "Eukaryotic small subunit ribosomal RNA", at positions 591 to 1092 of the family's 1831-position model. The record is from RNAcentral. Lineage: Eukaryota; Fungi; Glomeromycota; Glomeromycetes; Diversisporales; Acaulosporaceae.
CCAAUAGCGUAUAUUAAAGUUGUUGCAGUUAAAAAGCUCGUAGUUGAAUUUCGGAAUCUGUCCGUUGGUCGGGCUUAACUGUCCGUACUUAUGUGAUGGGUUCUUACCUUCUGAAUAACCAUCAUGCCAUUAAUUUGGUGUGUUGGGGAAGCAGGACUAUUACCUUGAAAAAAUUAGAGUGCUCAAAGCAGUCUAGCGCCUGACUACAUUAGCAUGGAAUAAUAAAAUAGGACGGCAUGGUUCUAUUUUGUUGGUUUCUAGGAUCACCGUAAUGAUUAAUAGGGAUAGUUGGGGGCAUUAGUAUUCAAUUGUCAGAGGUGAAAUUCUUGGAUUUAUUGAAGACGAACUUCUGCGAAAGCAUUUGCCAAGGAGGUUUUCAUUAAUCAAGAACGAAAGGUAGGGGAUCGAAGACGAGCAGAUAACGUCGUAGUCUUAACCAUAAACUAUGCCGACUAGGGAUCGGACGAUGUUAAUUUUAUAAUGACUCGUUCGGCGCCUUACG